This 110-nucleotide small RNA is filed under the name Marmota monax (woodchuck). The record is from RNAcentral. Lineage: Eukaryota; Metazoa; Chordata; Mammalia; Rodentia; Sciuridae.
GGGUGUGGUGGUGCACAUCUGUAACCCCAGUGGCUCGGGAGGCUGAGGCAGGAGGAUUGAAAGUUCAGCAAAAAAGAGGCGCUGAGCAACUCAGUGAGACCCUGUCUCUA